This 254-nucleotide ribosomal RNA is filed under the name uncultured bacterium. Its description in RNAcentral is "partial 16S ribosomal RNA". It matches the Rfam family "Bacterial small subunit ribosomal RNA", at positions 524 to 776 of the family's 1533-position model. The record is from RNAcentral.
UACGUAGGGUGCGAGCGUUGUCCGGAAUUAUUGGGCGUAAAGAGCUCGUAGGCGGUGUGUCACGUCGGCCGUGAAAACCUGGGGCUUAACUCUGGGCGUGCGGUCGAUACGGGAAUCACUAGAGUUCGGCAGGGGAGACUGGAAUUCCUGGUGUAGCGGUGGAAUGCGCAGAUAUCAGGAGGAACACCGGUGGCGAAGGCGGGUCUCUGGGCAGUAACUGACGCUGAGGAGCGAAAGCGUGGGGAGCGAACAGG